CAUCAUCAAAAUAAUUUAAAGCCGAGUAAUAUGAGACAAUUAAAAUAAUUCAUCCCAACCCAUAUAAAUAAUUGGAUUGCAUCCAAUUACUCAACAUGGCUUAUGAACUUUUCAAAAACUUGGCUUUUGCCAAAAAUCCAUUCUCGGGGAUACCCCGCGAAGGCAUCUUACCGAGACCGCCAAGGCUGUUUAUUGUCACACACACAAACACAUUUCACCUCUGACAACACAGCCGUUCCUUGGAGUUAGCUGAGUCCCAAUUUCACGUGGUGGCCAACGUGAAGUGUACUCAAAUCCUACCUCGAGAGUUAUCUUACGCGCCUCUCCAAUCGAGGUAAGCUCAAUAAUUGGGAACUGUGCCCCUCUAAUUAGGCUAACCCACAGAACCCCCGUCACUGCAGUGCCCACUUUAUAAUCCACCAACCAAUAAAAUCACAAUAGUAUGACAUGGCUCACUUAACACAUUCAAGGUAAAUCAAAGCAGUUCACAUAUUCUUAAAAUCAUAAAAAUAACCAAUCAUACCCACAUUUAUCAUAAGCCAUUUAAUGUAAAAUCAUAGAUAAACAACACAAUCAUAGUAUAGGUCUCCAAUUACUCUAUUUUUGAAAUCAUUAUUAAAUUUUCAAAAAUAUUAUAAAAUUAUUUUAUAAAAUCCCAUUUUACCAUAAAACACAAUAAUUUUCCAAUUAAACCAUUUUUUCAUAAAAUCACACAAUUAAAUAAAUCUACUCUAGAUAAUUAAGACGAUAGUAAGUUUACUCACUGUACUAGGAGUCGAUAUACUCCUAUUUUCAAUCCGCGGGUACAGUCCUUUACCCGUAUCUAAUGGCUCACCACCUAGCCAUAAUCCAUGGCACAUAUUUCAAUUAAAUUGUGUCUAACAGUCAUAAGCUAUUUCAGGCUCGAUAUAUAUGCAUGAUAUGAAAUGAAAAAUGCACAGGUAGCCAUCUAGACCCGGUAUUGACCUAAGUCGAUUUUUCAUCCAAUAAAUUGGCCAAUGCGUCCAAUUUCACUCCAACUUUCUCCAUUUCUUUUCCAAUCCCUCAAUUCACCAAGCACAACUAAUUAACACACAAUUAGGCAAAUUUAUCUUCACUUUUCUUCUUGGAACUUUCGGCCAUUGAAGGUUCAUGGGGAAAAUGGAUUCUUUUCUUGUUGUUUUGUUUCUAAACAUGUUUAACUAACUCUAAACACCAACAUAACUCAAAAUCAAACAAUUCCAACAUCUUUCUCUCUCCAUACCCAUUUUGACCAGCCAUAAUUUCAUCAUGAAAACAUGUAAUUUAACCAUGGAAAUUAAGGAAAAAUGCAUGGGUAAGGUAAAUCACUAGCAAAAUCAAAGAAAUUUUACCUUUGCUUGAUCAAAUCCUUGAAUUCCAACACUUUCUCUUUGAUUUUUCCCACCUAGGGUUUGUUCUUCCUUGGUUUCUCUUCUCUUCUGGUUUGGCUGAUCACUAUGGGAGAAAUGGGCUGAUUUUUUUGCCUUUUUAUAAAGAAAUAAUAAAAUAAUAAAAACAUGACACAUGGCAUUUCCUUAUUGGCUCAAAUUUUAAAUAUUUGACUUUUAAUUCUUUAAUUCUCCACCACACAUUUCUCAUGUUUAUCCAUUUCCAUGAUGAAUAAAAUCCCUUGGUCUUGACAAGUGUCGGGGGUGAAAAUUUACCGAUUUGCCCCCGGGGUGGCAAAAUUACCAUUUCACCCUUAUACUCCAAAUUAUACCGAAAUUAAAAUUUUUCACUUCUAAACUUCAAAUCAUACUCCAAUACUUAAAUCAUACUCCAAUAAGUCAAAUGGACCAAAAAAAAUCUUUUCUAAAAAUUUUCAUUUUGUCCCCAAGUGGCAAAUGACCAUUUUACCCCUAGAUAGUGAAAAUUCCAGUUUGACUCCAAAUUGAUCCUCGAACUCCGAAUUACCAUUUUGAGUCAUCCAUGAACUGUGAAACUCUUAAUUUCACCUUAAAAUUCCUAUUUGAACUAGUUCGAGGCUUAAUCGACUUAAUGAUACCAUUAGGGGCAAUAUCGUCUUUUAACGAUUUCUCGAACUUCCUAAAUAUACAAACAUUCUAUCGAGCAUGUGAAUGACAUUAUAAUUAUUUUACAAAGCAGGGUUUGACACCGACAGUGAGAGUAGUGACUGUUUAGGGAAAGAAGAAAGGGUGAAGAAAGGGGUUGAAGAACAAGCUCAGAGAAAAGGGGGAGGAAAACUGUAAUUAGAGAGAGAAAAUGGGAAGGUGAAGUGAACAGAGAAGAAAGAAAAAUAGUUUUUAUACUUAAGGUUAACACCUGAAAACGACACCAUUUUAAGAAGUAAAAAGGGAAGGAACAUCAGUCAAAUGACGUCGUUGAGGACAUUUGGGAAGUUAUAGCAUAAGCACUAAAAUGGUGCAAUUUGAGUAAAGCUCUGUGAGCCUUGGGAAGCAGAUCUGUUGAAGUGGGGUUGUGUCAUGACCCGAAACUCCCAUCGGCCCCGUGACAACCGUCGCGACGUCUCGAUAGGCACUCAUUACCCCGAAUACCGAUCGAAACCCCGCAAGGCUUAGCAUCAGCUUCCGCAUCUCCCCGGUGAGCGACAGUGAGCGACAGUUAUUAAAUCUCACAUUGCAAGAAAUCAUAAGUCGUUUCCAACUCAAAACAAUAAAAUAUUAUUUUUUAGCUCACAGGGGCAUUUUCAUCAUUUUUUUUUAAAAUUUCGAAAUCCGUAAAAAUGUAAUAUGUAAGUGGAAACGCAUAUUUCAUGAUUUAAAUUAAAUUUUGAAGUCUAAAACAUUCGUUUAAAGUAAAAUUAUAACUAUUUGAAUAUAAUAAAAAUAUUAAAUAAAAUAUUCUAUUUUCUUAAAACACAAUAUUUUCAAAGUCUUCCUAAAAUAACUUUUGUAGCGUAAGAGUAAAAUAAAUUUAUUCAUAUAGUAAUAAAGAUAAUUAAAGUAUGAAAUUUCGUUUACAGUGACACGUGGGCCCCCAAUUGAGCAAGAAGGUGUAGGGCUAUGAAUCCUUACUUUCUAGGAUGCACUCCGAGAUUAAUUCCCGUCUUAAUCAACUAUCAACAAACUGUCUUGAGCCUGAAAAAUGGAUAGGGAGAGGGGUGAGAUUAAAUAAUCCCAGUGAGUAAACAAUUACCAUCAAAAGCAUCUAAAGUCGAGUAAAUGGAGACAAUAUAAAAACGUUAUAUCUCAAUAAUGUUCAUAACACAAAAUUCGUUUCAAUCUAUACCAAACAAUUUCUUUUUAUCAAAAUUUUUCGGCUUAUGAAUUUCUUAAACUUGGCCCCUGCCAGAAUCAUUCUCGCGGGUACCUUUGUCAAGGUAUCCCACUGAGACUGUCAAGGCUGUUCAAUGACCCAUACCCAUAAACAUGUUUUCACAUUUGACACACAGCUGUUCCUUGGCGUUGGCUGAGUCUCACUCUCAUGUGAUGGCUCGAACGUGAGGUGCACUCAAAUCUUACCUCAGGAGAUACUUCAUCCAACAUCUCCCCUCGGAGGUAAUUAUAUAAUUGGGUUACCGUACCCCUCUCAUAGGCAGUCCACGAAAACCCCAACCACUGCAGUGACUGUUUAAUAUACCACCAGACCCAUAAAAAUUUCAGCAGCAUAAUAUGGCGAAUAAAAUGUAAUCCAGUCUACCGAGACCAAUCCAAAACUGUUCAUAUAUUUCAUGCCAACCCAAAAAAAUUUAGCCAUCAUGCUACCAUAGUGUCAUAAGCCACAAUUUCAAUAACAUAUAAAAUCAUAAAUUUCAACACAGUCUCCAUAUACUCAAAUUUCUCAAAACAAUAUUUGAUUUCAAAACCAGAAUAAAUCUCAUUUUUAUUAAAAAAUAUUUUAAUUAGAAAACAUAAUAUUUUAUAAUUUAAACUCACCAUUCAAUAAGAGCAUCAAACAAGUAUAAUUACUCUGGAUAUUUAAGAAGAUAAUUUGUCCACUCACAGUUCUAGGAGUCGAUGUACUCCUAAUCCCAGUCUUCAAGUACAAUCUCUGUACUUUUAUCAGUGUAAUUUGCUCACCACCUAUCCACAAUGUACAAUACAUAAUUCACCACAUCAAUGCUUGACCAUUAUAAAAUCAAUUCAGGCUCAGUCUAUAUGCAUGAUAUGAUAUACAACUUAUCCGACCAUCACUUAAAUGUGGUGCUGACCUAAUUCGGUCUAUUACCCGAUUAAAUCGAUAUACGUGCCUGUUUAAACUCCAAAUUAAUUUUUUUCAAUUUCUAUACCUCAAUUGCACCCAAAUUGACUUAAUGUCCCUCAGUGUGGUGCAAAUUAUCAGUUUCGAUAGCAAAUUACGAAAAUACCCCUAAUGGGUAAAAAUUCGUAUUUUUGCUCCGAAAAUUCCCAUUAUUUUUCUAGACUCAUAAUUCAUCAUUAAUCAUCAUAAUUCCUCAAAUAAACAUCAAGAUCAUCAGCCAAUAUUCCCCUAGAAAAUUUGGCCAAUAAUGGUAAUGAAGGAAAAUAAAUUCUUUUCUUGUUAUUUUGUUCCUAAAUAUGCUAAACUAACUAAAAACACUAACAUAACUUAAAAUCAAAUUAAUCUAACAACUUUCUCUCUCCUAACCCCUUUUGAUCAGCCAUCAAUUCAUCAUGAAAACAUGUAAUUUAGGCAUGAAAAAUUAGGAGAAAUGCUUAAGGAAGAUAGAUUUCAAGCUUAAGUUGAAAAAUCCUACCUUUUUCACUUGUUUUUCUUGAUUUUCCAUACUUUUUCUCUUGAAAUUCCUCACCUAGGGUUUGUUCUUCCUCUCUUUCUCUCUCUUCCUUGCUUGGCUGAAUAUUUGGAGAGUAAUGGGCUGAUUUAUGCUAUUUUUUUAGUUAAAUAAUAAAAUAUCCUAAGCUUGACACAUGGCAUUUUCUUAUUGGUUAAUUUUUAAAACUUUUAAAAUUUUAAACCUUUUAUCUCCACCACAUGAUUAGUCAAAGGUCAAAAAUGAGGAUAAAGGAAGACCUUGUGCUGGACAAAUGUCUUGGUGGUGGAAAAUUACAAUUUUACCCCUAGAGUGACAAAAUUAUCAUUUUACCCAUAUACUCCAAAUCAUAUCGAAAUUAAAAUUUUUCACUUCUAAACCUCAAAUCAUACUCCAAUAAGUCAAAUGGGACCUAAAAAAUCUUUUUUAAAAUUUUUCAUUUUGGCCCCAAGUGGCAAAUGACCAUUUUGCCUUUGGAUAGUGAAAAUUUCGGUUUGACUCCAAAUUGAUCAUCGAACUCCAAAUCACUAUUUUAAGUCAUCUCUGGACCAUGAAAUUCUUAAUUUCACCUUAAAAUUUCUAUAUGAACUAGUUCAAGGCUUAAUCGACUUAAUGAUACCAUUAGAGGCAGUAUCGUCUUUCAACGAUUUUCUCAAACUUCCUAAAUAUGUAACCAUUCUAUUGAGUAUAUAAAUGACGUCGUAAUUAUUUUAUAAAACAGGGUUUGACAGGUUGGUUGUCUUGGGCUGUCUCUUGCCCAAGGAAGGUAAACCUUUUUCUUUUUGUGGGUUUGGUAUGAUUUUGUUGUAUUGUGCUUGGCCCAAAUAUUUGGUUGGAAAAUAAAUUAGUUUUAGUAUGUGAUUAAUUAAAAUAAAAAAUAAAAAAUAUGCAGUAAAAUUAUCAAAUGUUAAGGUAAAAAUAUAAAGAGAAAAAAGUAAAAAAUUAUAAAUAGAGAGAUAGAUAAAUAUUUAAUAAUAAAGUGAUAGAUUUAGUUAUAUAGAAUAUAAGUGUAUAUAUAUAUAGGAAAAGAUGAAUGCCUAACCAAAAAAUAGUAAUAAAUAAUAGUAGAUCUAGGUUNUAUAUAUAUAUAUAUAUAUAUAUAUAUAUAUAUAUAUAUAUAUUUGAAAAGAUGAAUGCCUAAUGAAAAAAAUAGUAAUAAAUAAUAGUAGAUCUAGGUAAAAAAUACAAAUAUAUGUGAUAGAUAAAUAAAUAUUUAGCAGUAAAAAUAUAAAACUAAGUAAAUAAAAUAAUAUUUAGUUAUAAAAAAUUAAUCUAGCUGAAGGAAAGAAAAUAUAUGAAAAUGUAAAAGUAUAUGUAUAUUUUGUCAUAAGCAAAAUAGACUAAAUAAUGAGUGAAAAUAAUAUUAAUAUAGAUAAUUAUAUGAAAGUGACUUAAAUAAAAAAGGUAGAUAAAAUGUAAAAAGAUAAGUUAGGCAUGUAAAUAGAAAUGAGAUAUUUAACUAUAUAAAUUUAUAUUCAUAUAGGUAUAUAUAAAAAAAAUAAAAGAAUGGGACCUAGUAUGAAAUUAUUAAAUAUAAAAAUAUAACGAUUGUUUUAGGAUCAAUACCAAUGAUAGGAUGUCCAUUCAGAACGUGAGAAGUCAUAAUUCCCAAUGAAUUAUUAGGGACUUUGAUUAAGAUCCCACUAGUACCAUGUGAAGGUUUUAAUUUUGAGUCAUGAUGUUUCCAAUUCUAAAUAAAUAAAAAUUGUAUUAACCUAAUUACUAACCAAACAAAACAUAAAAACAAAGGAAACAAAAUAAUAAUAAUAAUAAUAAUAUACAAGAGGGAAUAGAUAAAAUAUGUAAUUUUAAAAUAUAAGAUUAUAUAAAAUAAGGAUUUUCAAGAUAAUAAAUAAAUAAAUAAUGAUAAUAAAAUUUUUAAAGAGAGUAAGAUGAUAACAAUAAUGAAUAUAGAGAAUAAUCAAUAGCGGACAUAAGAGUUGGUAUAGUACGUCUUGCAUUAUAAUCGCAUUUAAAUGUCAUGGCUUGUAGACAUUACGUGUGCGAGUCCAAAUCUCGAUGAUGGGACUUUUCAAGGGAGCUUGCAAAGGCGAGUUCUUUCAAAAAAUUUCCUAGGUGAAAGGAUACUUUCGAGUCUCACCAGUACGAUAGGAAGGCUCGGAGAAUAUCCUUAAUAAAAAGCUUCUGCUCGUAUUAAGGUCUGCAUUCAUAAAAAUAUUAUUUUUUACUUGCAAACGACUACCCCGAUGAUGGGAUUUACUCGAUAAACUUGCGAAAGUGAGUUUCUCGAGUAUUUUCUAGGUGAGAAAUUACUCUCGGAUCUUACCAGUAUGAUGGGUGAAUUCGAAUUCGCUUAGGACAUCAAUCGAGGACAAUUUUUAACGUCAAAAGAUCAGAUUGUUUACUCUAAAUGGUCUAAGUGUUCAUUACUUGAAAGAUCUAAGGAUUGCUUUGUAAAUUCUUGUAACACCCGACCCUAAAUUAUCUAUGACAUAUCAUUCACAUGCUUUGGAUAGCAUGUUUGUAUAUUGAAUUGCCCGGAAAACAAGUUAAAUGACUGUAUUGCCCCUAAUGGUACGGUUCAGUCAAAUAAGUCUUGAACUAGUUUAAACAGAGAAUCGAGGAUGAAUUUGAAAAAACUAAAACCUAUGGGUUGAUUUAAAAUGAGGAUUCAGAGUUUGAGGUCCGAUAUGGAGUUAAUCCGGACUUUAAGUAUUUUAAGGGUAAAAUGGUAAAUUACCACCUGAGGACGAAUAUGGAAAAUUUUAAUCCCGUUUGAUUAAGAUUGAUUAUAUUAAACAUAUUGGAGUUUAAUUUGAGGGUUUGACAGUGAAAAAAUUUAAUUUCGGUGAUUUCUAGAGUAUAGGGGCAAAAUCAUAAAUUUUUCACCCGCGGACAAAAUUUGAGAUUUUGAGAGAAUUUAGAUCAAAAUUGACAAAUUGGAGAGUGGUACGAGUAUAAGGGAUGAAAAAUAUGUCUAUGGGCAAUUUUUCAGUUUUUGGGGUAAAAAUGUAAUUUUGACUUUUACAGGGGCAAAAGUGUAAAUUUCAAAAAUUACUCCACCAAGACUUUGGAUAAGUCUUAGAAUUUUAUCUAAGCUAUGGAUAUGUUAGACAAGUGUAUGGUGAAAAUUUGGAAAUAAAUGGAUGGCUAGAAUUUAAGGAAUUAAUAAAAAAAAUGAAUAGAAUAAUAUUAUAUUAUUUUAGCCUUUAAAAAUGUCAAAAUUCCAGAAUUCUCAUCUUCUUCAGCCGUCCAAACCAGGAGAGAAAAAGGGGGAAAAGAAAUAAGAACCCUAGCUGAAAAAUUUGGGAAAAAUAAAGAGAAAUCAAGAAAUCAAGCAUUAAAAAGGUAAAUUUCAUUGAUUUUCCUUGUGAUUUUCACUACCCAUGCAUUUGUUUCUCAUUUUCAUGCAAAAUUAGAAAGUGGGUAUAGACACCCAUGCUGGCCAAACCUCCACGGAUGAGUUUUGAACUUGAAUUUUGGUUGAUUUUAAUUAAAUUAAGUGAUUUUAGUUAGGUUAUAUUGAACUAUAGCAAAAAUAAGCUAGAAAAAUAAUUUUCUCCCAUUGAAACCCAUUAUACCGAAUUUUCUAGGGGAAUAUUCGCUGCUGAUCUUGAUGUUUAUUUGAGGAAUUAUGAUGAAUAAUGAUGAAUUAUGAGCCUAGAAAAAUAAUGGGAAUUUUCGGAGCAAAAAAAUGAAUUUUUACCCACUAGGGUUAUUUUCGUUAUUUGCUAUCGAGACUGAUAAUUUGCACCACACUGAGGAACAUUAAGUCAAUUUGGGUGCAAUUGAGGUAUAGAAACUGAAAAAAAAUUAAUUUGGAGUUUAAACGGAUGUGUAUAUCGAUUUAUCCCGAAAUAGGCUAACAUCUCGUUUAGGCAAAAUUUAGACAUUUUGCACUUCAUAUCAUGCAUUAGUAGUAUAAAUUAGCUUAUUUUGGUUUAGUACCAAAGCAGUAAACCUCUUAAUUGUGCAAUUUGUCAAGGUGGCGAAUCCUUUGGUAAGGGUAAAGAAAUUGCACCCGAGGAAUAAUAGUUGGAGUACUCAAAUUUAGUUUUCAGAAACUGUGAGUAAACUUAUUAUCGUCUUAAUUAUCUAGAGUAGUUUUAUACAAUUGUGUGAUUUUAUGAAAAAUGGGUUUAUAUGGUAAAUUGCUAUGUUUUAAGAGAAAUUGUGAUUUUAUAAAAUGAUUUUAUAAAUUUUCUAGAAAAUCGAAUACUGGUUUUGACAAUAGAGUAAUUUGAGACUGCCUGCUUGUGUUGUAAAUUUAUGGUUUUAAAUUGAAUGGCUUAUGACAAUAAAUGAGCAUGAAUGGCUAAACUGAUUUUAGUGUUAGAAUUAUUUGUACUGUGUAUUUAGCCUUGAGAGGCUAGGUUGCGAUAAAUUGCCAUGUCAUGCAGAAAAAGAUUUUAUAAAUCAAGUGGUAGAUAAAAGAUUAGCUACUGCAGUGGUGGGGGGUUCCGUGGGCCAGCCUAUUAGAGGGACACGAUCAACUCCUUUAUAUUCUCACCUCGGUCGUAAAGGCGCGUAGGGUAUCUCCUGAGGUGAGCUUUUUGAGUGCACUUCACGUGGACCACCGCGUGAGAGUGAGACUUAGCCAGCGCUAAGGAACGGCUAUGUUUCAAAAUAAAAAUAUGAUUUAUGCGAAAUAUAAAUUUUUAACAACCUUGGCGGACUUCGUUGGAUACCCCUGGUCCAAGUGUCCCCGAGUACAAGAUUUGGCAUGAGCCAAGUUUUGAGUAAUUCACGAGCCAUAUUGAUUAUUUGGUUGAAAUGAAUAUUCGUUAUGUGAAAAAUUUAUUGAAGUUAAUUAUUUUUAAUUGUCUCCAUUUACUCGCCUUUAGAUAGUUUAGAUGGUGUCUGUUUACUCAUUGGGAUUUUAUAAUCUCACUACCCUCAAUUCCCCACAUUUUAGGUUCGGGAUAGCCAGUAGAUAGCUGAUUGCAUCAAGGACUUCAGUUAGCCUUGCAUUGUCAAAAUUAUAGAUUCACAGACUCGCAUCUUAUUGGUUAGUUGGGGGCCCACGUGUCAUUGUAAAAGUAAUUUUAUACUUUAGUUAUCUGAUUUAAAAUAUGUAUGAACAUAUUUAGCUUUUACACCAUGUUUUUGGCGAGUUUCGGUAUUAUCGAAGAAAAAUGACGAAAAUGCCCUUAUGAGCCAGAAAAUAAUAUUUUAUUAUUUUGAUUUGGAAACGACUUAUGAUUUCUUGAAAUGCAAGAUUUAAUAACUGUCGCUCACCGGGGAGAUGCAGAAACUGAUGCUAAGCCUUGCGGGGUUCCGAUCGGCAUUCGAGGUAAUGAGUGCUUAUCGGGAUGUCGCUGCGGUUGUCACGGCCCGAUGGGAGUUUCGGGUCGUGACAAUUCUCCUUCUUUUCUUUAUUUCAACCCCUACUUUUCACCAUUAUAUAAUUCCACAUGAUGAUUGUCAUAGAAAUGAAUGAUGAUUGGUAAAGAGAUGAACUAAUUAAGUAAGAAACUAUAUUUGUUGUUCAAUAAAAGACUUAAUGAUGAGGAAAAAAGAAAAAAGAGCCUCAACAUGAAAAAGGUCCAAUGUCAAAAGAAAUGAUGCCUAAGGAAAAUUAGGAAUUUCAGCCAAUGGGAAAGGCGUAGACAAAGAUGAGUGAAAGUUGUAGUGAAAAGGUUGGAUGAAGUAAGAAAAGGGUCAAGAAACCUUAAUGAAUCAUAAACAUGAAAACAUUCCAUCAAUUCAAUCGUGUACACAUGCCUAACCAUGCAUAUGAUCAUUUUCAAACAAGAAUCAAAAUUAAUACAUGUUCCAAGGUUCAAAAGUGGAAAUUUAUCGAACCUAAAGUGUUCAGGUUGUAAAACUUUGAUUAAGAUGGAAGUAUUUGAGUAUUUCAUUUUCAUAAAACAACUAAUGCAGAAAGGAUUUAAGCCUAAUUAAGUUGGCACGAGAGAUUCCAAGCCAAAUUUAGUUGACACUAGUAUGAGUUUAAAAAUGAUGUCAAUCCAAUUAAGUUGACAUUAGAUAAUUUAAAAUCGAACUUGUUUUGAAAUAGGUCGAGCCUAGGUCAAGUCUAAGAAUUUUAAUUUUUAAAUCGAAUCUGUUUUGACAUAGGUCGAGCCUAGGUCAAGUCUAGGAAUUUCAAUUUUUUAAUCAAACUUGUUUUGCUAUAGGUCGAGCCUAGAUUGAGUGUAGAAAUUUCAAUUUUUUAAAUCAAACCUAUUUUGAUAUAGGUCCAGCCUAGGUCAAGUUUAGAAAUUCAGUUUUUAAAAUCAAACCUAUUUUGAUAUAGGUUGAGCCUAAGUCGAGUUUAGGAAUUUCAAUUUUUAAAUCGAACCUAUUUUGAUAUAAGUUGAGCUUAAGUCAAAUCUAGGAAUUUUGAUUUUCAAUUUGAACUUAUUUUGAUAUAGGUCGAGCCUAAGUCAAGUCUAGGAAUUUGAAUUUUUAAAUCGAACCUAUUUCGAUAUAGGGCGAACCUAGAUCAAAUCCCAAAAUUUCAAUUUUUAAGUCAAACAUAUUUUAAGAUAGGUCAACCCUAGAUUAAGUUUAAGAACUUCAAUUGUUUAAAUCGAACUUGCUUUAAGAUAGGUCAAAUAUGGUGCUUACGUCUUUGCACUAUUCUUGAUUCUCAAGAAUGUGUAAAGAGAGGCAACUGUAGCACCUAUACCCAUAGAUCUCAAAUAAAAAAAAUAAUAAAUAAUAAAUAAAUUGCUCUUAAAAAAAUUGAAAUUGAUGGUUUUAGUAUUCUUAGCCUCUUUCUCCCAUAGUCAACUGAUCAGAUGUUCAAGCCGAUGGCUACCCUAUUGCUUUUCUAAGCACCGUCACUUUGAUACUUAGGAAACAGCUUGCACAAGGCAUUUAAUGCCCUUUGGGUAGCUAGAUUUGGGUCACCUCUAGCUGCCAUCCCUAGGUUUUCUUUUACAUGGAGCCCUUCAUUUGUAAAAUCAUGCUAAAAAAAGCAUGAUUUCAUUUCUAGAUUGUCCAAAAACUUGGAAAAUCGAGUUCUAUAAGAACCCUUGAAAUUCAUAAGGAAGAGGGGGCAAUUUCACAAAACUUAGCAGCCAAUUUCAUCACAGAAGCCUUAGGCAACCAAUUUCAAAAAAAGAGAGAAAACCCUAGAGCAAAAGAAAAACUCAAAAAAAUCCUAACUUUCUAUCCUAUCAAACAACCAAAUACCAUAAUCAAAAGAUUUAAGAAAAGCUGAAAUAAAAAUAACAAAUAGCAAUAAAAAAAAAGGCCUUGAAAAUUCGAAAACUAGAAAAGACUAAGGGGGUUUGUUUUUCUUUCUUUUCUUUUGGGAUCUUCACGAGAUUUGGGGAAUUUAGGGUUGGUGGUUUUUGAUCGGCUUGGUUGGGGAGUGAUUGUGAAGGGAAAAUAGAGAAAGUUGAUGAAAUCGAGAGAGAAAAAGGGCAAUUGACGAGGUAGGCCGGCAGUGAGAGUAGUGAUAAUAUAGGGAAAUAAGAAAGGGUGAAGAAAGGGGUUGAAAAACCAGCUUCAGAGAAGGGGAAGGAAUACUGUCAUUAGAGAGAGAAAAUGGGAAGGUGAAGUGAAGAGAGAAGAAAGAAAAAUAGUUUUUAUACUUAAGGUUAGCACUUAAAAACGACAUUAUUUUGGGAAGUAAAAAGGGAAGGAGCAUCAGUCAAAUGAUGUCGUUUCGAGCGUUUGGGAAGUUGUAGCAUAAGCACUAAAACGGUGCGAUUUGAGUAAGGCUUUGUGAGCCUUUGGAAACAGAUUUGUUGAAGUGGGUUUGGUUGUCUUGGGCCGCCGUUUGCCCAAGGAAGGUAAACCCUUUUCCUUUGUGGGUUUGGUAUGAUUUUGUUGUAUUGUGCUAGGCCCAAAUAUUUGGUUAGAAAAUAAAUUAGUUUUAGUAUGUGAUUAAUUAAAAUAAAAAAUAAAAAAUAUAUAGAAAAAUUAUCAAUUGCUAAGGUAAAAAUAUAAAGUGGAAAAAGCAAUAAAUUAUAAAUAGAGAGAUAGAUAAAUAUUUAAUAAUAAAGUGAUAGAUUUAGUUAUAUAGAAUAUAAGUGUGUGUGUGUGUGUGUGUUAUACCUAUCAAAAUGGGCUUGGCCCAUUGGGCCAACCCAUUUUUCAUUUAAUAUGGGGUGGGCUGGGCCAUGAAAAUUUAGGCCCAUAUUUAAACCGGGCCUAGAUGGGCCAGCCCACCAAAUCAAUAGGCUAGGGUGGGUUGGGGCGGCCAGCCCUAUGGGCCAAAAAAAUUAAUAAUUUUAAUUAAUUUAAUAACUUUAUAUAUUUAAUUAUAUAAAAGUAAUAAUUUAAUUGCCAAUAAUAUUACUUAUUUUAUAUAUUUUAAUGUGUUUUGUCACGACCCGAAACUCCCAUCGAGCCCGUGACAACCACCGCGACGUCUCGAUAGGCACUCAUUACCCCGAAUGCCGAUCGAAACCCUGUAAGGCUUAGCAUCAGCUUCUGCAUCUCUCCAGUGAGCGACAGUUAUUAAAUAUCACAUUUCAAAAAAAUCAUAAGUCAUUUCCUAUUCAAAACAAUAAAAUAUUAUUUUUUGGCUCACAAGGGCAUUUUAGUCAUUUUUCUUCGAAAAUACCGAAAUUCACCAAAAACAUGGUGUAAAAGCUAAAUAUAUUCAUACAUACUUUAAAUCAAAUAACUGAAGAAUAAAAUUACUUUUACAGUGACACGUGGGCCCCCAACUGACUAAUAAAAUGUAGGGUUACGAACCCUUACUUUCUAAGAUGCAACUCCGAGAUUAAUUCUCGUCUUAAUCAACUAUCAACAAAUUGUCCUGAGCCUGAAAAAUGGAUAGGAAGAGGGGUGAGAUUAUGAUUACAUAAUCCCAGUGAGUAGACAGACAUCAUCAAAAUAAUCUAAAGCCGAGUAAUAGGAGACAAUUAAAAUAAUUCAUCCCAACCCAUAUAAAUAAUUGGAUUUCAUUCAAUUACUCAACAUGGCUUAUGCACUUUUCAAAAACUUGGCCCUUGCCAAAAAUCCAUUCUCGGGGAUACCCCGCGAAGGCAUCUUACCGAGACCGCCAAGGUUGUUUAUUGUCACACACACAAACACAUUUCACCUUUGACAACACAGCCGUUCCUCGGCGUUGGCUGAGUCUCAGUUUCACGUGGUGGCCAGCGUGAAGUGUACUCAAAUCCUACCUCGGGAGUUAUCCUACGUGCCUCUCCAAUCGAGGUAAGCUCAAUAAUUGGGAACCGUGCCCCUCUAAUUAGGCUGGCCCACGGAACCCCCGUCACUGCAGUGCCCAAUUUAUAAUCCACAAACCAAUAAAAUCACAAUAGUAUGACAUGGCUCACUUAACACAUUCAAGGCAAAUCAAAGCAGUUCACAUAUUCUCGAAAUCACAAAAAUAACCAGUCAUACCCACAUUUAUCAUAAGCCAUUUAAUGAAAAUCAUGGAUAAACAACACAAUCAUAGUAUAGGUAUCCAAUUACUCUAUUUUUGAAAUCAUUAUUAAAUUUUCAAAAAUUUUAUAAAAUUAUUUUAUAAAAUCUCAUUUUUCCAUAAAACACAAUAAUUUUCCAAUUAAACCAUUUUNNN
RNAcentral lists this long non-coding RNA (14120 nucleotides) under Theobroma cacao (cacao). Its description in RNAcentral is "long non-coding RNA (TCAC_LNC002570)". The record is from RNAcentral. Lineage: Eukaryota; Viridiplantae; Streptophyta; Magnoliopsida; Malvales; Malvaceae.